AUUGAACGCUGGCGGCAGGCCUAACACAUGCAAGUCGAACGGUAACAGGAAGCAGCUUGCUGCUUCGCUGACGAGUGGCGGACGGGUGAGUAAUGUAUGGGGAUCUGCCCGAUAGAGGGGGAUAACCACUGGAAACGGUGGCUAAUACCGCAUAAUCUCUUAGGAGCAAAGCAGGGGAACUUCGGUCCUUGCGCUAUCGGAUGAACCCAUAUGGGAUUAGCUAGUAGGUGGGGUAAUGGCUCACCUAGGCGACGAUCCCUAGCUGGUCUGAGAGGAUGACCAGCCACACUGGAACUGAGACACGUCCAGACUCCUACGGGA
This 321-nucleotide ribosomal RNA is filed under the name Providencia sp. RNAcentral describes it as "bacterial SSU rRNA". It matches the Rfam family "Bacterial small subunit ribosomal RNA", at positions 30 to 346 of the family's 1533-position model. The record is from RNAcentral. Lineage: Bacteria; Pseudomonadati; Pseudomonadota; Gammaproteobacteria; Enterobacterales; Morganellaceae.